Molecule: long non-coding RNA, 1049 nt
Filed under: Ficedula albicollis (Collared flycatcher)
Lineage: Eukaryota; Metazoa; Chordata; Aves; Passeriformes; Muscicapidae
Description: lncRNA (ENSFALG00000023673.1)
Source: RNAcentral
AUGUCUAGUGUACUACAUUACUUUUUGUAUUUACUGUUUAGAUUAUUUUUAACUCAGUGCUCUCUUCUUUUUUUUUUUUUUCAUUUUUUUGCAAGACUCAGUGAUGACAGUCUUCUGGUGGCAUCACCAGGAGAGGACUCACAGCUUGUGUGUGGAGAAGGGGAGAAGACUCUUAGCCAGGAACAAUUGUCACACAACAGGAACAAGAUGACAAGAACAUUUGCUGCUCUGUUGAAUGUGUGUCUUAAAAUGACAGUACUCUGUAUAAUAAAAAAGAAUUACAAAACCCAAUGUCCAUAUUUUAUCCUCUGGAAGAGAUGUGCCAGGAGAAUGGAAGCUGUACCCAGCUGGAAUACAAUGGCAAUGGUUCAUUUGCAUUUUGAAGGCAGGAGUUAAUUGCUAAACAUCACCUUUGUGGUCAUGAGAGGAAGGAACAGGCACAGGCAGCACGAGGAACUGGGAAAUGCUGCUUUCCUGAGGACAGUGUUUUGGUAAAAUACUGAAUAUCCUGCACAAGCCACAGAAUUGCAUAAGUUAAAGAUCCUCAAGAACAACAAGCACAGGGGACAGGUGAGGGGCUGUGCUGGGGACAGCCACACUGAGGACACAGCUCAGGGAGCCACAGAACACCCACUCCCACUGGAGCCAGCUGUCACAGGCUUUGGCACAGCAGCAGGACUUCUCCACAAGAUUUGCUGAGAUUUCUCACCAACUUCCUUAAUCCUUUCUUCCUAGUUAUCCUUGAGAUUAGAAUAUAUAAACACAUAACAGAUAAUUGCUUCACUUCAGUCUUCAACAGACCAACAGUUUCCCCUGGGAAGCAAGGCCUAGAGAGGUAAAACAACCAGAAGCAUUUUAGGAGGUGUGAUGGUUCCCAGCUGGAGACAAACAUCACCAGCAAUGACUGCAGCACCGCCCAGGUGAUGUCUGGUGGGGGCUGGCUGGUUUUCCUUCUCACCUGCUCAUUACCCUGAAGACUCAGAACUCCUGGGUUAGUUCCCAUAAAACCCCUUCCCUCAGUUAACCCUUCCCAAUUAGUGCUGUUUCUG